Unclassified non-coding RNA from Fukomys damarensis (Damara mole-rat), 249 nucleotides. Its record names the gene 7SK. It matches the Rfam family "7SK RNA". Rfam says of the family: 7SK was discovered as an abundant small nuclear RNA in the mid-70s but a possible function has only recently been suggested. Two independent studies have found that 7SK RNA binds the CDK9/cyclin T complex (known as elongation factor P-TEFb). The record is from Ensembl. NCBI's taxonomy places the organism in Eukaryota, Metazoa, Chordata, Mammalia, Rodentia, Bathyergidae.
GAAACUGGAGGCAACCUGGCUGCCACCUCUGUCAGCCCACUGCCGGGGUUGAGUUGGCUGAUCCGGCCGGCAGGGCAAGUGUCCCCUCCCUCCCUCACUACUCCCUGUGCGUCAGAAUGACCACCCCAUAGAGGAGGGCUGCUUCCUCGGUCAAGGGUAUGCAAGUACCUGCGCUCCCCUGCUAGAACCACCAAUAGGGCUUUCAAGAGGGAAAUGCAUUUCACACAAACACGCCCAAGAGAGGGUCAU